CCAGACGUUAGAAGAUGCUGGGCUAGAGAAUGAUUCGGGUCUGUUGAAUAUGAGAAGCAUAGAAAUUGACCUACAAAUUAUGAAGGAGAAAGCUCAUGACUUGGGAGUGCAAGUAUCGAAAUUGGAAAAAAAGAAAGUCCAAAUGAAGAAUGAUUUGAAGUGUUUAAAAGAAGAACUAAGGAAUUUAUAAACUAGGGAGAAAUGGUUCUUACUUGUAAUUGGGAUGCUUCUUAUGAUGUGUUUGAGCAUAAUAAAAACCAUGAAAUAGUUUAAGUUGUUUUGAUGUUUGAAAAAAUUUGAUAUAUAAAUCCAAUGUGUAUAAUGUUGUUUGGAUAAUUAGAUUAUUUGAAGAAUGAUUUUGUUUGGAUAAUUACAUUAUUUGAAGAAUGAUUUUAGGGUUAGAUAAUUAUGUUUAUUUGUAUAAUUAUUUAGCAAAACAGAUGCUACUUCACUAAUUGGGGACAUUCCAAAUUAUUUUAUUUGUACUUUUACAAAACAGAG
RNAcentral lists this long non-coding RNA (501 nucleotides) under Panax ginseng (ginseng). RNAcentral's name for it is "long non-coding RNA (PGIN_LNC018763)". Lineage: Eukaryota; Viridiplantae; Streptophyta; Magnoliopsida; Apiales; Araliaceae. The record is from RNAcentral.